CCUACGGGGGGCAGCAGUAGGGAAUAUUGCUCAAUGGGGGAAACCCUGAAGCAGCAACGCCGCGUGGAGGAUGAAGGUUUUCGGAUUGUAAACUCCUUUUGUCAGGGAACAAAGGCGGGGACGUGUCCCCGGAUGAGUGUACCUGAAGAAAAAGCAUCGGCUAACUCCGUGCCAGCAGCCGCGGUAAUACGGAGGAUGCGAGCGUUAUCCGGUUUUAUUGGGGUAAAAGGGUGCGCAGGCGGUCUGUUAAGUCAGCGGUCAAAGCCCGGGGCUCAACCCCGGCCCGCCGUUGAAACUGGCAGUCUCGAGUUGGAGAGAAGUAUGCGGAAUGCGCGGUGUAGCGGUGAAAUGCAUAGAUAUCGCGCAGAACUCCGAUUGCGAAGGCAGCAUGCCGGCUCCACACUGACGCUGAGGCACGAAAGCGUGGGUAUCGAACAGGAUUAGAUACCCGAGUAGUC
RNAcentral lists this ribosomal RNA (458 nucleotides) under uncultured bacterium. RNAcentral's name for it is "partial 16S ribosomal RNA". It matches the Rfam family "Bacterial small subunit ribosomal RNA", at positions 338 to 795 of the family's 1533-position model. The record is from RNAcentral.